Molecule: ribosomal RNA, 421 nt
Filed under: uncultured Oscillospiraceae bacterium
Lineage: Bacteria; Bacillati; Bacillota; Clostridia; Eubacteriales; Oscillospiraceae
Description: bacterial SSU rRNA
Rfam family: Bacterial small subunit ribosomal RNA
Source: RNAcentral
UGGGGAAUAUUGGGCAAUGGGCGCAAGCCUGACCCAGCAACGCCGCGUGAAGGAAGAAGGCUUUCGGGUUGUAAACCUCUGUCUUCGGGGACGAAAAUGACGGUACCCGAGGAGGAAGCCACGGCUAACUACGUGCCAGCAGCCGCGGUAAUACGUAGGUGGCAAGCGUUGUCCGGAAUUACUGGGUGUAAAGGGAGAGUAGGCGGGAUUGCAGGUCCGUUGUUAAAUCUAUCGGCUUAACCGGUAGCUGCGGCGGAAACUGUAGUUCUUGAGUGAAGUAGAGGCAGGCGGAAUUCCUAGUGUAGCGGUGAAAUGCGUAGAUAUUAGGAGGAACACCAGUGGCGAAGGCGGCCUGCUGGGCUUUAACUGACGCUGAGGCUCGAAAGUGUGGGGAGCAAACAGGAUUAGAUACCCUGGUAGU